GCAUGGCUGUCGUCAGCUCGUGUCGUGAGAUGUUGGGUUAAGUCCCGCAACGAGCGCAACCCUUGUUCUGUGUUGCCAGCAUGCCCUUCGGGGUGAUGGGGACUCACAGGAAACUGCCGGGGUCAACUCGGAGGAAGGUGGGGACGACGUCAAGUCAUCAUGCCCCUUAUGUCUUGGGCUGCACACGUGCUACAAUGGCCGGUACAAUGAGCUGCGAUACCGCGAGGUGGAGCGAAUCUCAAAAAGCCGGUCUCAGUUCGGAUUGGGGUCUGCAACUCGACCCCAUGAAGUCGGAGUCGCUAGUAAUCGCAGAUCAGCAUUGCUGCGGUGAAUACGUUCCCGGGCCUUGUACACACCGCCCGUCACGUCACGAAAGUCGGUAACACCCGAAGCCGGUGGCCUAACCCCUUGUGGGAGGGAAUCGUCGAAGGUGGGACUGGCGAUUGGGAC
Molecule: ribosomal RNA, 450 nt
Filed under: Kitasatospora misakiensis
Lineage: Bacteria; Bacillati; Actinomycetota; Actinomycetes; Kitasatosporales; Streptomycetaceae
Description: bacterial SSU rRNA
Rfam family: Bacterial small subunit ribosomal RNA
Source: RNAcentral